UACAGAGGGUGCAAACGUUGUUCGGAAUUACUGGGCGUAAAGCGAGUGUAGGCGGUGUGGUAAGUCGGAUGUGAAGAGCCCCGGGCUCAACCCGGGAAGUGCACUCGAUACUGCCACGCUAGAGUAUCGGAGAGGUUGGUGGAAUUCUCGGUGUAGAGGUGAAAUUCGUAGAUAUCGAGAAGAACACCGGUGGCGAAGGCGGCCAUCUGGACGGUGACUGACGCUGAGACGCGAAAGCGUGGGGAGCAAACAGG
RNAcentral lists this ribosomal RNA (254 nucleotides) under uncultured bacterium. Its description in RNAcentral is "partial 16S ribosomal RNA". It matches the Rfam family "Bacterial small subunit ribosomal RNA", at positions 524 to 776 of the family's 1533-position model. The record is from RNAcentral.